Molecule: ribosomal RNA, 253 nt
Filed under: uncultured prokaryote
Description: partial 16S ribosomal RNA
Rfam family: Bacterial small subunit ribosomal RNA
Source: RNAcentral
UACAGAGGGGGCAAGCGUUGUUCGGAAUUACUGGGCGUAAAGGGCGCGUAGGCGGCCUUCUAAGUCGAACGUGAAAUCCCCGGGCUCAACCCGGGAACUGCGUCCGAUACUGGAAGGCUUGAAUCCGGGAGAGGGAUGCGGAAUUCCUGGUGUAGCGGUGAAAUGCGUAGAGAUCAGGAGGAACACCAAUGGCGAAGGCAGCUCUCUGGCUUCACCCUGACGCUGAGGCGCGAAAGCGUGGGGAGCGAACGGG